CAUUACGAACUAAAAUAUUAUUAUGCAAAACCACUAUAAAGUAUAAUCUAACAUCAUCAGUUUUCUAUCUUUACCAAUGUCUUAGGACCUUACAAGUAAAAAAAGGAAAACACAAUAUGUGAAAGACAAGUAAAAAAAGGAAAACACAAUAUGUGAAAGUCAAAUGAUGGUUAUUGUGUGUUUAGGGUUUAGGGACCUUACUGCAAGUGAUUCGCAAUAGUCUUACACUGGCUUGGUUGUAUGAUUGCAUGUAGCAGAGCAGAUUCAGUGGCUUCAAUGAAUCAGUAAGGUCCACAAUAUCAAGGUUUGCCUGUUCCCCUAGAGUCAGAAAAUAGUUGAAAGUUUCAAUGUUCCUUAUAACAUAUGCAAUAUAAGCUACUGGUGCUUCCUUUGACAUGCUACUACUCCCAUCAUUAUAAAUUGCUUUGCAUCUACCAUUACAUAUGUCAAUAGCAUCUUCAUGAUUUUGUUCACCAUUUCCAUGUUUAAUGUUUGGAGAGAGGCUCUUGCAACUUGCAUGCUGUCUGCAAAAGCUUGAAUUCAUCUGAUUCAAAAGAAUGGCAAGUACUCGAACAAGAUGAGGCAGGCAAACUGGAUCAUAUAUCACAUCUGCUCCCAAACUGAAAUAGUAAUAUACUGAGGAAUGACAUUUGAAUUAUGAACAAAUUUAAAGUAUAAGAAAUUAAGUUCUUUAAUUGAGUAGAAACUUCAGUUGAACUCUCACAUAACAUCUGGCAUGAUAUCUUGAAGUUGACUUUCUGAUGCAGAUUCCCAUGGCAGAUACAAGCAUUUUACCUGAGUGAGAUACAUGGAUCAGUUCAUAUUACAGAACCUUGGCAACAUACAAUACAGUUUAUAUUCUCUUCUAUCUACACAUACAAUCCAUUACAAAAAGGUUUUCAAAAGAAUGCAGAUCAUGUACACCCCCAGACAGUUUUGUUUUUAGCUUUUAUUGCCAUUUAUCAACACAGACUACACACUGCAACAAAAAGGACAAAAUAAAACUUCAAAAAAGAAAUUUAUAGAUUAAUCUUCUAUGAACAAAAUCUACAACCACAUGUUAGAACCAUGCACUAAAAACGUAUGAAACUCAAGAUAAGCACAACAACACUCAGAAAGAAGAUAAGUAGAAAGUAAAAAUUUAAAAAUACUGAAAAUUGGUAUUUAUAUAUCAGCUUAGCCAAUAGCUCAGUAUCACGCAAAACCUGAGAGAAGAUGUUGAGAGGAUUACAUUUUCUAUGCAUGAAAGAAAAAUAAAAUGCACGGCCUAUGCAAAUUCAGACUCACCAUCUUUGGGUCUUUGCUUCUUUCUGGCACAUUAGACUCAACAUUCAGGUUGUUCAACUCCAAAUUAAGCUUCAUGUUAGCUAAAGUUGAUAGGUCACCAUCACUUAAUAUCACCUGUUUAUAGACAAUAACAAGCUUCCAGUUGACUAUAUUCAACUACAAAUAUCACCUAAUGUUACCCAUAUAAUAAUUAAAACAAAUAGCACCUUUUUCUCGUUUAAAUUUCGGAGUUCUAGCUAAAACAUCAUACUUCAAUAACAAAUAUGUCAUCAUUCAAAAUGUUCAUGGAUGAAUCAUCAAGUAUAGUUGGUCAUACCUUGGAAGCUUUCACAUGGGCUAGACACAAUCCAACUAAGCCAACUCCUGAACCAAUCUAUUUCAAAUUUUUUAAAAGUGCACAAAGGUUAGAACAGAUGAAAGCUAAUCUUAAUGCAAUAAAUGAAAUGACAAAAAAAUUAUAAACUACACAGUAAUAGCACAAUUGCAUCUUAGAGCCUCUCUGUUAAGUGGAGAUAAUCACAUAAUUGUCUCAUCAUCACAUGCAAGGCCGCUCAUGACUGGAUAAAACCUUAUUAUUGCUACUGGAUUUAACAAACUCAAACAUAGAACUGACCUCAAAGCAUGAUUUAUUAAAAAAUAAUUCUGGAUGAGAAAGUAUUAACUCGGACAAAAACAGACUUGAUGGCCAUAUUGAGCACCUGCAUAACCAAACCAAUAUCAUCUUUAAGAAUUUAAUGCGAAUUCCACAAAUAUACAUGUCGCAUAUGCAUACUGAGGGAAGAAUUAUUAUAUAAGAAGCUGUAGAUAGAUCCAAGAAAUGCCCAAUUUAAUGGUAUUGCUGAACUCAACACAAGUUGAACUCUCAUGUAGCAAGAGCACUGGUUAUUAUGAGCAUACCCAGUAUCACCUUCAAGCAUGUUUAGAGAACACUGCAGCGAAAACACCAGUACCCUCGAGUGUGGACAACUUAGGAGUUCAGAACAACCUAGCCAUUCCAAUUUUACCAGCCAAAGAAAAUCUGAAUGAAACAACAUCAUAAGAAUAAACGGAGAAACAUAACCACAAUCAAGAUUUACCAUCAGGAAAAAGAAAUGAAAUUUUUUUGCAGAUUCUUCCAUCCCUCUUCCCCAAACUAUCAUCCUAGCAAAAAAGAAAGAAAAUCAAGAAAAAAAUCUAACCCACCAGACAAAAAAAGAAGCUUGGAGAAAUUAAUUGAUAGAAUAAAACCUUGAACGAUGUCAUGUAGUGAGCAUAGAGCUCGUACAAAUUAUCCAACACAUAGCCAUGUUCUAACUCAACUUGAGUAAUAAGUUUCUUGAGAAAAUUCUUCAAGUAAGGAGCAUGAAAAUCACCCUGCAUUUAUCAUUCUAUCCAAUCAAUCAAGCCCAGAGGCGAAAAUUAGUUUGGUUUAGUUAUAUUCAUUUUGACUUCUUGUUUUUUUCUUUUACAAGUGUUUUUAAAGAAAAGUUCAUCUGCCCAAAAAACAAAGUAGAAAAUUAAAGAUUACAGGAGUGGAAAGGCAAUGGUCCCAGAUGAAUUGCUGAACUUGUUCCGUGAUUGAGCCUCCACCAAACGCCCUGCAAAACUAUCUGUGUCACUGCUUUUUGAAGUCUUGCUGAAAUACAAAGGAGAAGAAGGAGUGAGGGAAGAGAAACCUGGCAUGGGAGAUAACACAGUGGAAAGGUUCAAUGGCCAGGAUUGAAGAAAGCAAAUGGCGGGAACAAGACAGGGAAGGAUCUAAGUCUUGCUCCAUCGCCACUUCCACUGCUAUGCUCUUCCUCCGACAAUCUCCCAUUCUAUUCAGAACAUGUGCUUUUUAUAGUGUCCAAAACAAACUCCUAAUAUUUACUUUAUUGUUUUUUAUGUUUUUUUAUUCAAUUUUAGUAAAAGAACAAUUUCUUCCUUUAAAAUGCUCUGCUUCCUUAUAAUGUUUAUUUUACUUAUAUUUUUAAUAAAAAUACUUCCAUUUUCUUAAUUUAAUUUAAAUUUGAUAUUAAUUAAAUUUUAUUAAAAAUAUAAAUAGAAGUUGAAUGAUUUCUUCUUGUAAAAAUUACAUUCACCCUCCUUCUAUUUUUUCUGGUUUUAAAAUUGUUUUAUUCUUAUAUCAUUGAUAAAAUAAUACUCGUACUAGUCAUUUUAUAUAUGCUUACAUUUGUAUUUUUUUUUACGAUAUAUUCGUAUUUUAUUAAAAAAAUUUAAGAUUUAAAAUUGAUUAAAUGUGCAAAUAUAUUGUAUUAUCGAUUAAUACUUCAAAUUCAAAUUUUAUUUAAGUGUGGAAUGUGAUUCUCUCAGCUUCAUAAAAUAAUAAAUAAAAAGACAAUUAAAAAGUUAAUAGACUCAAAAAAAUACAAGUUUGACAUUAAUAUUAAAUUCUUAAACAUAUAAAUUAAUUUAAGAAAAUGUUAAAGAAAUAAAUGAGUUAAGGAAAUUAAAUGAAGAUUUUUAUCAAAAAUAGAACAAAUCUAACCUUUUAAUUUAAGGAACCUAUUUUGUUUACAGAUAUAAUUCCAAUUGUUUGAUUGAACAAGUAUAAUAAUAUGACGAGUAUUGUAUGUUUACAAGAUGUAAAACAUUAUUGUUAUUUAAUAUUUUUGUAGAAUAUUUGUUUGACUAUUUAAUCUUGUUUUUUCCCACUCAUUUUAAAAUAGGUUUUUACAUUCUAAAAAAUUAUUUCUGAACGAGUAAGAGAUAUAAUAAAAAAAAUUGUGAGAUGUACAUUUUGAGUGGAAACAUCAAUUAUUUUUCUGCAUGUUGUACUAAUCAAAUAGGUCAAUAGUUCAACUUGUGGAACUUUUUACAACUUAGAUUUUAGUAUAUAUAUAUAUAUAUAUAUAUAUAUUAAUAAGAUAUAUUUACAACGAUUAAAAUACAAUUUUAUCUCUUUUUAUUGUACAAUUUUGACGUCUUUCUGCAAUUUUGGAAAUUUUUAAAAAAAUGUCAAUAUUUUUAUAUUCGGUAAUUAAGUUAAUAUAUUUAUAAAUUAAUUUAGGAAAACAGUGUAUGGUCUACAAUAUAAAGGUCAUUUAAACUAUCAUUUAGUAAAAAAUAGUAAUUGUUAACUUUUAUGAUAAUUAAAUAUUUUAUGAAAAGUAAGAAUUAUUUUAAAAUCUACAUUAAUAAUAAUAAUUGCCAACUAGUUAAUAGUUGCUAGGCAAGUUGUGAGAAUGAUUAAAAUUCAUAUUCAAUUAUCGUAUUGUAGCGGAAACUUUUAAAGUCAGGAGUUACAAUAUUUUUAAAGGAAAAGAAAUAUUAUUUUUAACGAGUUAAUAUUUUUUGUAUAUUUUUCUCAAACCUUAUUUAUUACAUGUCAUCGUUACUGAGAAAAAAAAUACAAAAUAAUGUAUAAAUUAUCGUAUGAAUCAUAUUAGGUGUAUCACUUAAUUCCUUGUGUGCGUGUUGUUUUUUUAUAUGACAAUUUAUCCACCUAUUUUUUAACUUCAAAGGUACAUUAGAAAAUGCUUUAACCACCACUAGAAAUCACUUUGGUCUAUCAAACUAUAGAUUUUCUUAAAGUUUUAGUGAGCUUGGUUUAGUCUCCACUCUCCUUUGUUUGCUUCAAUUCUUAAAUGAUAUUUUGGUGUGUUACUGUUUUUGUUGACAUAAUAGAUUGAAAGAGGUAGGUUAAGAAAAAAAAAUGAUAAAAAAAUAAAAGACUUGUACUUUGAGAUGAUUGAUAACAAAAAUUGGUCAGUGACAGGAAUGAUGUUUAAAAUAUAUAUCCAAAAGAGAGAUGACAAAGAAUAUUGAAAAUGUUAAUACUGGAAUAGAUUAGGUCCAGAGCAUAACCUAUGCAUAGUUCAAAAUCAUUAGUUAUUUCUUCUAAGUAAAAAAGGGAAAAGAUAACAUGUGAAACCCAGAUAAAAUCGCUAUUUUAUAUUAUUGCCAGUGAUACGCAAUAGUCGUACAUUGGCUUGAUUGUAUGAUUGCAUGUAGCAGAGUAGAUUUAGAGGCUUCAAUGAAUCAGUAAGGUCCACAAUAUCAAGGUUUGCCUGUUCCCCCAAGGACAUAAAAUAGUUGAAAGUUUCAAUGUUUCUGAUAACAUAUGAAAUAUAAGCCACCGGUGCUUCCUUUGGCAGACUAUUACUAUCAUCAUAAUAACUUGCUUUGCAUUUAAUGUUAGAUAUGUCAAUAGCAUGAUCAUGAUUGUGUUCACUAUUACCAUGUUUAAUGUUUGGGGAGAUGCCCUUACAACUUGCAUGCUGUCUGCAAAAGCCUAAAUUCACCCGAUUCAAAAGAAUUCCAAGUACUCGAACAAGAUGUGGUUGAUAAACAGGAUCAUAUAUCACAUCUGCACCCAGACUGAAAUAAUAAUAUAAUGAGAAUGACAACUGAAUUCCGAAUAAAAUUGAAAGAACAGUGCAAGA
RNAcentral lists this long non-coding RNA (5651 nucleotides) under Phaseolus vulgaris (common bean). Its description in RNAcentral is "long non-coding RNA (PVUL_LNC002680)". The record is from RNAcentral. Lineage: Eukaryota; Viridiplantae; Streptophyta; Magnoliopsida; Fabales; Fabaceae.